Molecule: ribosomal RNA, 301 nt
Filed under: uncultured bacterium
Lineage: Bacteria
Description: partial 16S ribosomal RNA
Rfam family: Bacterial small subunit ribosomal RNA
Source: RNAcentral
CAGUCGCCACGGGAAUACAGAGGGUGCGAGCGUUAAUCGGAUUUACUGGGCGUAAAGCGUGCGUAGGCGGCUUUUUAAGUCGGAUGUGAAAUCCCUGAGCUUAACUUAGGAAUUGCAUUCGAUACUGGGAAGCUAGAGUAUGGGAGAGGAUGGUAGAAUUCCAGGUGUAGCGGUGAAAUGCGUAGAGAUCUGGAGGAAUACCGAUGGCGAAGGCAGCCAUCUGGCCUAAUACUGACGCUGAGGUACGAAAGCAUGGGGAGCAAACAGGAUUAGAUACCCGCGUAGUCCCUGUCUCUUAUAC